ACUUAGUGGCAGACGGGUGAGUAACAUGUAGGUAUCUACCCUAUGUUGAAGAAUAACAUGAGGAAACUUAUGCUAAUACUUCAUAAGUCUUUACGGAGAAAGCUUUAUGCGCCAUUGGAUGAGCCUGCACUUGAUUAGUUUGUUGGUGGGGUAAAGGCCUACCAAGACUGUGAUCAAUAGCUGAUUUGAGAGGAUGAUCAGCCACAUUGGGACUGAGACACGGCCCAAACUCCUACGGGAGGCAGCAGUAGGGAAUCUUGCACAAUGGGGGAAACCCUGAUGCAGCGAUGCCGCGUGAGUGAAGAAGGCCCUUGGGUUGUAAAGCUCUUUCGUCGGGGAAGAAAAUGACUGUACCCGAAUAAGAAGGUCCGGCUAACUUCGUGCCAGCAGCCGCGGUAAUACGAAGGGACCUAGCGUAGUUCGGAAUUACUGGGCUUAAAGAGUUCGUAGGUUGUUAAAAAAGUUGGUGGUGAAAUCCCAGAGCUUAACUCUGGAACUGCCAUCAAAACUUUUUAGCUAGAGUUUGAUAGAGGAAAGCAGAAUUUCUAGUGUAGAGGUGAAAUUCGUAGAUAUUAGAAAGAAUACCAAUUGCGAAGGCAGCUUUCUGGAUCAUAACUGACACUGAGGAACGAAAGCAUGGGUAGCGAAGAGGAUUAGAUACCCUCGUAGUCCAUGCUGUAAACGAUGUGUGUUCGACGUUGGAAAUUUAUUUUCAGUGUCUCAGCGAAAGCAAUAAACACACCGCCUGGGGAGUACGACCGCAAGGUUAAAACUCAAAUGAAUUGACGGGGACCC
This 795-nucleotide ribosomal RNA is filed under the name marine metagenome. Its description in RNAcentral is "bacterial SSU rRNA". It matches the Rfam family "Bacterial small subunit ribosomal RNA", at positions 90 to 922 of the family's 1533-position model. The record is from RNAcentral.